RNAcentral lists this ribosomal RNA (465 nucleotides) under Vreelandella stevensii. Its description in RNAcentral is "partial 16S ribosomal RNA". It matches the Rfam family "Bacterial small subunit ribosomal RNA", at positions 338 to 795 of the family's 1533-position model. Lineage: Bacteria; Pseudomonadati; Pseudomonadota; Gammaproteobacteria; Oceanospirillales; Halomonadaceae. The record is from RNAcentral.
CCUACGGGGGGCAGCAGUGGGGAAUAUUGGACAAUGGGCGAAAGCCUGAUCCAGCCAUGCCGCGUGUGUGAAGAAGGCCUUCGGGUUGUAAAGCACUUUCAGUGGGGAAGAAAGCCUUGGGGCUAAUACCCUCGAGGAAGGACAUCACCCACAGAAGAAGCACCGGCUAACUCCGUGCCAGCAGCCGCGGUAAUACGGAGGGUGCGAGCGUUAAUCGGAAUUACUGGGCGUAAAGCGCGCGUAGGCGGUCUGAUAAGCCGGUUGUGAAAGCCCCGGGCUCAACCUGGGAACGGCAUCCGGAACUGUCAGGCUAGAGUGCAGGAGAGGAAGGUAGAAUUCCUGGUGUAGCGGUGAAAUGCGUAGAGAUCGGGAGGAAUACCAGUGGCGAAGGCGGCCUUCUGGACUGACACUGACGCUGAGGUGCGAAAGCGUGGGUAGCAAACAGGACUAGAUACCCGAGUAGUC